This 369-nucleotide ribosomal RNA is filed under the name uncultured organism. RNAcentral's name for it is "bacterial SSU rRNA". It matches the Rfam family "Bacterial small subunit ribosomal RNA", at positions 526 to 896 of the family's 1533-position model. The record is from RNAcentral.
CGAAGGGGGCUAGCGUUGCUCGGAAUCACUGGGCGUAAAGCGCACGUAGGCGGCUUUUUAAGUCAGGGGUGAAAUCCUGGAGCUCAACUCCAGAACUGCCUUUGGUACUGGAAAGCUUGAGUCCGGGAGAGGUGAGUGGAACUCCGAGUGUAGAGGUGAAAUUCGUAGAUAUUCGGAAGAACACCAGUGGCGAAGGCGGCUCACUGGCCCGGUACUGACGCUGAGGAGCGAAAGCGUGGGGAGCAAACAGGAUUAGAUACCCUGGUAGUCCACGCUGUGAACGAUGGAUGCUAGCCGUUGGCGGGUUUACCCGUCAGUGGCGCAGCUAACGCAUUAAGCAUCCCGCCUGGGGAUACGGUCGCAAGAUUA